ACCGCCAGGAAGACGGAGUGCAGUAGCGGCAGACGGGGGAGGAGAGCAGAGAGGAGAGGAGGGACGGCUGCUCCGGAGUGGGGGGUGGAAGAAAACCGGGAGCAGCCUGAGCAGCAGGUCCGGGGGUAGACGCUCAGCUCCACUGCCCUCCUCACUCAGGCAGACGCUGCUGAGCUCCCCCGGGUUGUUUCCCAGUCCCGCUGGGCGGAGGCUGCCGUCUAGACCUGACUCCAGAAUUUAAAAUGCAAUGGCCAGAAGACAGGAAAGUGUCACUAGAAGAAUGUGGACAUGGACUCCAGGACUGCUGCUAAUGACUGUGAUCUUGUGGAGUCAGCAGGGGAAUGGACAAGGCCAAGGGGCCACUGCAUUACCCAUCUCCAUUCUGCUUCGGGGGACUCAAAAGAAAAGCCAGGGAUACAUGAACCACAGAGGUCUUCCUACUGACCUAAAGAUCUUCACCAACUCAGCCCAGCCAGGGAGGUUUGCUUCCUAGACUUUGCUGGUUAGUGGACGGUCCCAAGGCAGAGGUCACUGUUGGAAGGAAGAGGG
Molecule: long non-coding RNA, 549 nt
Filed under: Capra hircus (goat)
Lineage: Eukaryota; Metazoa; Chordata; Mammalia; Artiodactyla; Bovidae
Description: lncRNA (ENSCHIG00000005673.1)
Source: RNAcentral